UGGGGCCUCGGUGAGCGGGAGAGCCGAAAGUGGGAAUUCACCCCCACGGAGAGGCGGAACGGGAAAGGGGGAAAAGGGGCUCUUCCUAUGGACUCACACUGUCUGCAGCUGGUUGUGGCCGGGAUUUCCCCCCUUUCGCUGAUGGACACAAGCCGCUGCCAGCACGGGAGCGGAGGAGGGAAGGGGAGGCCUCUUCCCUCCAAGGUUCCUCUGCAGUGGGUCAAACCUCUCCGAUGGAGUCCGAGCUGGUCCGGGCUGGGGGCAGAACAGGGCACAGGAAAACGGUGGCAAACCGAGGCCAGAAGCAGCCAGGUGACCAGGCCAAAACCAAAAUGAACCUCGGAACCCCUCCACACACCCCCCCUCUCUGAGUCAGGGCAAAAGUGAAGUCCCUGCCAUUUACUGAGGAGAGAAAAAAUCUCACCCCACCCCCACCCCCCUCAGUCUUCUGAGGCCCAUUAGCUCGGACUGUAAGGCUGCUACUUCUUCAGUGUGUGUCAACCACCCUAGCCAACCACCCUCCCCCUCCCUUGUUCAACAUCUUUCUUUUACAGCAAUGCAGGGGAAAGAAAAAUCCCCCGCUUGGUUUUUACAACAAGUAAACCUAUAACACUAUGCAAAAUGACUGUUUAAAGCCUUUUGUAAUUAACUGCCUCUUGUUCUGAUCAUGUCAUUGCUAUCUAAACAUCUUUUUAUAUUAUUAUUUCUUUGUUUAAAUCAUAUCAGAACUCUGCACAUCUUUCCCUAUUAGUGUGUCUACUGUUGUAUGUCUCCACAAAUAUUUAGGUUAUCUAGCACUUAAAUCAUUUCUCAUAACUCAUUUUUGCCGUUUCACUUAUAAGGUGACAAAUGAUAGUUGGAAGGACAACAGGAAAAGUGGGUUAACUGUAAUCUGUGAAACCAAAUAAAAUCUUUGUUGCAGCUUAGUUCACUUACAUCUCUUCAGCACGGAGAAUUAACUUUCCUGUAGGAGACAUCUAAAAGCAAGUGGGAAACUUGAACAGAAACAAAUUCUAGUACUCCAACAAAGCCCAACCAUCACUAUAUCAGAACUUUUUACAGUUAUAAGAUAUUGAAAUUACUAAUAUGUGCUUUAAAGGUUUCCUUAGUUGUGUAAUCCACACCAAUGAAGAGAUCACACACGUAUAUGACCUUUCUGGUCAUGUUUCUAUUAAUGUCAAUCUUCUGGAUUUGGCCACUGGAGCUGCCUUUCACUGCAGGAGCUAAUUAUAAAUGUCCUUUCCCUUUACUUCUAUUAAAUCAAUUGUGGCCUUUAUGUACACUUUUUCCAAGGUAGAUUUCUUGUUUUCCUGUCUCAACAAACAUACAGCUGGUACAAUUCCAUGCUGCAACAAAAACAAACGUGGUGGUUUUGUUUCUUUACAGUAAGUGUCCACUCAUUUUAUUAUUUAAUAGCUCUUCCUGAACGCCAUAAAACACAUAUGGUAAAAUCCUAUUAAAAAUUCUGCUGUAUUUCAUCUGUUGUAGGUAAAGGUGGUGAAGCAGCGAGAGUAAAUUUUCUGAAGGUGAAAGCAGAGCUAAUGUGAACACUGGGAACUUCUACUGGCUUUUAAAUUAAAUGGGCCUCACAUAAGGAAUGUUUUGUGACAGAAAAAGGCUGUUUGUCAAGAUCCUGCCUUUCAAGACACAAUUACAAAUUUGGCACAGAACAUGGCAAAAUGGAUGCAGAACAGAUUGAACACUGAGGGGAAUCUAAGAAAUGCAGCUACCAGAAAUGAAAAUGUUGCAAGCCUGCUGACAAACUGGGAAGGAGGAGAAGGAACCAAAUGAACUGACAGAAAACUCAUGAGACAGCAGGGUGGAAAAAAACCAGGCUUACAACAAUUGGGAUGGAAUAGUCAUUUCUAAAAUGCAACACAGCCCAAGACAUGAUCACAGAGGAUGAUCUACAGCUCUGCACUUAAUACAGAAUUUUAAUUAAUUUAAACUGAAAAUAGUCAGAGUUACCUAAAAUACUGUGAAUUUUCUGCUGGAAAAUGUAUUUCAUUAUCUGUCUAUAAAGAAAAUCAGAGUAAAAAUGUGACAUAUGUUCAUCACUCCUUUGUUCUUCCCUAAUCCCAGGAUUCACACAGCGAAGUUCCUUUAGUACCUUAGUGUGGUGUUAUUUUUUCUCUUAGCUUGCUGAAGUCUAAACUAUUCAACAAGCUAUGAUACCAGAUAUGUAAAAUAUAUUGUCACAUAGAUUGAAGAUUAAUUUCCCAGUCAUUUGGAUAGAAAAGAAUGCACAAUAUUUCUAUGAGAGACAAGAAGACUCCCUUCAUAAUUCGCAAGUUAGAAUCAGAUUCCAAGAAAAGAAGAUGUUAUUUUGUGAGCUGUCUUUAGGGUCUUUUAAAUUAGAUUGAGCUUCCUUUUCAUAAGAUAUGUUAAUCCAUCAAUUCACUUAAGAAGAAAAUCCUUAGUAUUUAAUUUUAUUUUAAAAUUUUACAGAUAUGGAAAUUAAUUUUCAGCUACAACUUUUAUUGAAUUUCCUUGUCCUUAAAAUGUUCAUCCUCCCAGUUGUACUCUAAGCAACACUUGAAUCACUGUUGUGCAAUGAUAUAAAUUUAUGAUAAAGUGUCCUGUGUGCAGGUCCCACCCAAGGUAAAUGGAAAGUCAGAUCCACGGAUGCAGACUGCACUAGAAGAGACGUGUGAAGUUAAAGACACUGAUUUUUUUAAUCUGCAUAAACCCCCUGUUAUGGUGUGCUUCCAUCGCUGACUGAAAAUCAGCAAGUCCCUUGUGCAAACCUACAGAUGAAGCCAAAUGCUGAGUGUGGUCUCAGGUGAGAGGAUAUUUAGUCCAUAAACACAAGCCCAAAUAUUCGCACUCCAAUUCCAGAGGCAGUUCUUUUUUGCUUUUGUAAUCAUUGUCCUGCCUCCACUCUCAUUGUACAGAAUCACAGAAUCAGCUGGGUUGGAAAAGACCUCUGAGAUCAUCGAGUCCAACCUGUGACCCGACACCACCUUGUCACCCAGACCAUGGCACUGAUGUCACAUCCAGUCUCUUAAACACCUCCAGGACGGUGACUCCACCACCUCCCUGGGCAGCCCAUUCCAAUGGUUGAUCACCCUCUCUGUAAAGAGCUUCUUCCUAAUGUCCAACCUAAACCUCCCCUGGCAGAGCUUAAGACUGUGGUCUCUUGUCCUACUGCUUGUUAUGUGGGAGAAGAGUCUGACACCCACCUGGGUACACCCUCCUGUCAGGGAGUUGUGAAGAGUGAGGAGGUCUCCCCUGAGCCUCCCCUUCUCCAGGCUCAACAACCCCAGCUCCCUCAGCCUCUCCCCGUAGGACUUGUGCUCCAGACCCUUCCCCAGCCUCAUUGCCCUUCUCUGGACACGCUACAGCCCCUCAAUGUCCUCCCUGAACUGAGGGGCCCAGAACUGGACACAGCACUCCAGGUGUGGCCUCACCAGUGCUGAGUCCAGGGGCAGAAUCACUUCCCAGGUCCUGCUGCCACACUGUUCCUGAUCCAGGCCAGGAUCCAUUGGCCUUCUUGGCCACCUGGGCACACUGCUGGCUCAUGUUCAGGUAAUUAAUGCAUCUAAGGUAAACCUCUUCUAUACACCAGUGCUUUGGAGAUUUUUGCUAUUGCAGGGUUCUUAGGGUUUCACUCAUUUUUGAGCCACACAAUGUUCCUAUCACCCAGAUCUGUGACUUUAACAGGUACAAAAGAUAUGUAGCUGUUAACCCAUGCAUUUUUAAUCAAGGAGUUCCAUCAGGUGUGCCAGAUGCUAUCUGCACUUGUAUCAGUGUGUAGAUAUGAAAAUACUCCACUUUCAGAUGGUGGCCAGGCUCCCACUUCCUUCUGCGUUCACCUGCAAGUGGUAAAAUUCAGUGCCCUGUUUUCUUUCAUAAGUGAAAAAAGAGCCAGGAAAUCCAUGAAUGGUAAGAACUUUACAUUUGCCUUUAAUUUAAGGUCUCAAAAUGUACUUUACUCUUUAAAAGGAUUUUUAAAAAUCCUUAUGUUAAAGAAAGUUGCUGUCUCAAAUAUCAUGUCAGUCAGCAUUAGCUGUGGCAUUAUUUUAGACAAACUAAGGUUUUGAAUAAAAGUAUAAUUCUUCUGGUGCCACACUCCCAAGGGUAAUGAAAGUAAUCACAAAUCACGAAAUAUUAUGAGUUUUACAGGGCAGUGUUUCCUUUUCAACAUGAGCCACACACUAUCUAAAAAUUGUUGAAUUCCACUUCCAAAGAAUCCAGGUGGGAUGUAUUCAAUGCAGAACUUCUUUUAUGACACUGCCCAAUGUUUUUUACAUGUCCUGUGCCAAGGAACUACUGGAGUUAUUUAUCAGCAUUCCUAAAAUUUAUACAAACCAGCUUUGAUGUAUCAGUGCAAAUUAAGCAGAUCCAAAAUUAGGAAUGAACAUUUAACUCUUGCAAUGAAGUGAAAUUUGCAGAAGUCAAAACAUAAGGGGAAAAAGUAAAAAAAAAAAAAAACUACCCAAAGUAACUGGAAACUGAAUAAAACCACAGAAUUGCAUAGAAACAAUUUUUCACUAAUCUCCAGAAAUUUUUUUUGGUGCGUUUGAUAUCCUUGACCUUAUUCUUAAACCAUAAUUUAGUAGCUAAUCUGUUUCAUCUUCGGUAAAAUCACAGAAAGGAGUGGUUUCAGCAAAGUAUAAUACAUCUUAAAAAGUGGUUUAACACUUUACUGCACCUUGCUUUGACAAAAAUUCAAUUCUACGUAACACCUAAACCAGUCCUAUUUAAAAUUACAACUCUAAAAAAGGAACCAGAAAUGUAACUUCAAAUGCAACCAUUUCUUUUAGCUAAAAUUUAGAAGCUUUUCAAAAGCAUUUCCUACUUGAGUUUUAACACAAAAUCUUAAUAAUAUAUUUUUUCAUAAUAUUACAAGAACACAAAUUUAAAAAAUCCUGUUUAGCCAGCAUAUAUAAUUAAAUAUUUUAAACCUGUGUAAAAGGUUAAAGGUUGCCCACAAUGAAAAAGUUUCAGUUCACAGAACUUUCAAAUUGUAGGAAAUUUUGGACUACAGUUAUUAAUAUUCAUAUUAUUAAUAUUAAAUAAUUCUUGUGCUUCUCUCAAAACAUAUCAUCUCAGUUUAAAUUUCUGUUGAGAAACUUUGCAUCAGUGGGUGGCAAGUGAACAAUGGUGAGCACAGUAAGGUUGGGUUUUUUGCUUACUGGCAAUGUAUCACUAAUAUUUGAUUUACUUUGUAAAGAGAAAAUAAAAAGAGGAAUAUUGAAAAGAAAAAAACCUUCUUUUCAAUGGGCAAGUGAAUAUUUUUGUGGGGCUGAAGGCCAAAUAAGCUUUAUAGGCUUCCUUCUCUGUACAACAUAGUACAGUGUGCAUAUAUAGAGAGAUAGCCCCAUGUGUUAUGGCUAUUAUCCUAUUUUUUGACAUUUUGUUAAAAAGCCUACAAUUCAUUACCCUGGUUAAAUGUUCCUGUGUCUAAAUUUGUCUUCACUGAAGUUUUUUCUUUUUUUUGUGGCUAACCUGAACUCCGUGGACAAAAAACGUUUGUGAUGAAAAUUUUAAUACUAUAUACAACAGUGCUAAAAGACAUAAAUAUGAUAGCAGUAAAAAACCCAUCUGAACACUCUAUAAAGAUUCAAGCUUUACUCUUACACAGAAUUUGUUUCAUUGCUUGUGAUUAAUUUGAUCUCCUAGUACCAUAUUUUAUUGUAUAUUCAUAAUUUUAAAAUACAUGCAGGAAGCAACAUUACUCCAAGGGAGUCUAGAAAUAUAAAAUUUAAUAAUCAGAGAUUAUAAAUGAUCUCUAGCUCAGGCAACCAGGUUGUAGAUUCAUGAUGAUUCCCAUGAGGAAGGAAUACUCAGAUUAAAGCCAUUGCAGUAACUCUUACCCUGUUAUCCUGGCUCUUCUGUAGCAGUAAAGAAGGAAAUCCUUCAACCUAUAAACAAUCUUCAGUAUAUAAACCAAAAUAAUUAUGAAGAACAAAACAUUUUCCCUCAGGAAAUUUCCUGUACUGACCCAAAUGGAAAAAAAAGUUUGAUUAAGUUGUUUUCUUCUCCAUCAGAUGCUGAUGGUAUACUGUGGGUAAAUCAGCUGCACUAGAGUGAAAGUCAAAUUUCUCACAGCACUGCUACCUCAAAUACAUUACAGAGAAUUACAUUUUUUUACCUGAAGUGGUUUGCUGCGUUUUUGUCUUGACUUACUAUAUUGCUUUUUUUUUUCCCUUUGAGAAAUCUGUAAAAAUUCACAGAAAAUCAGAUUUCUUUUCUAAUUGCUUUGUUCCAUUUUAUUUUUAAAGGAAAAGGGAAAAAAAUGUCACGGCAAAAAAGCCUUGGAAAUUUAAAGCUGAGUUAGGGCACUGAAGGGACAAAUUCAAACACUGAGUUCUACUGAGCUGUACAAAGGGUGAAGUAUAUUUCAGAAUGUGCUGUGAGCUCAAAAUAGGUAAUUGUACAACUCAGUGGGCCAGAUCUAAGCACGUGCAAUCCUAGAGGAGUGUCUAUAAGUGCACCUCUCACAUGUUCAUACACACUCCUGACUCUAUAUAUAAGACUCAAAUGGCUGCACACACAGUAGAAAUAACCAACUUUUGAGCUGACAGCUCAUAACAGCAGCUGCUAAAAUACUUCUGCUAUUGGGGAGGACUGAAAGUGGAAAACAGCAUGUGUUUUCGCAAGUAUUCUCUUAGGAAUACUGUCCCAAAGACUGUGCCUGGAAUAAUAAAGUGGAUGGGCUUGGGCAGCAGGAUUGAGCACAUCAGGCAGGAAGUGCUUCCAGCAUGGAUGAGGCCUGUAGUGAGCUAAUGGUUAUUAAACUCAAAGCCAAAUCUGGAGGUUUUUCUGAUUGCUUGCAUACAUAUUCUGACACAAAAUGGAUAUACCAGACCAAUUCUUCACAGAAUUUAACACCAUUUUUAAUAUUAAGCACACCAAAAGAAAUACUUAUAAAGACUCACACGUUAAAGUGGUUUUGUAAGUAAAGAGCUAAAUUUUCAAGCACUUCUAUUACACAAAUAACGAUUAAGAGACAUAAUAAUAGGGUGUCAAAGAAUGAAUCUCAUUAGUUUCUGGAUUUAUAGGCUGAAACCUACUCAUUCCCUAGACAAACACUCAGAUUAGAGCAAGUCUUUCAAAUGGCUUUGUGGAGACACCCAUCUUCAAAGCCAGGGCACAGAUCCUGCUUUAUUUAAUAGCACAGACAUAAAUUCAUUAGCUGUGCAUGAAGUACCUGUUUGGAAUUUACAUGUAGACAUCUCAUUUGCUUUUAAGUGGUUUGAAAAUAUUAAUUUGUUCUCGCUGCACAAUGCAAUUUGUUACAGAGACCUCAGAGCUUUCUCUUCUGGGACUGGUAUGUUCACAGAAGCAACGCUGUGCAGGAACAGAAGGAGAGUUUCUGAUAGCUCUCAAGUCUAGGUUUUUGCUCCCUAGCUAACAAAGUCCACCCUUACAGAGUGCCUGUUGGUGUGGAUUUAGUAAUUCCCACCCGUGAUUUUACCCAAAGAAAUCCUAAUGUUUGAAUUUCAAUGAGGGAGAGAAUAAAACACUUGGAAUUUCAUUCCUUUUCAUUAAUUUUCCUUAAUGGAUAAAAAGUUUAGUAUGGGCCAUGGGCCUUCUAUUUACAGGGCAGAAGGCUUGAAGUAAAAUGACUUUGGGCAGUAAAAACAGAGGAAGAGAAACUGAAACAAGAACAGAAAAAGCAAGAAAAAUCUUGAUCCAACCACAUGGGCAGCGAAAGCAAUUGCCCUUAGUUAUUUUGUCAUGGAAUGAAAAGCUAAAGCUAAUCCCCUUAGCUUUCCCAUGUGAAAAUGGAAUCCAAAACUAAUCCUUUUACAGUAGCUGUACCACAUAAAAUGGGGUGUUUAAACAAAUCCCCUUAAUCAUCAUGGCAAGAAUCAGGGAGCUAAAGUCAAUCCCUUUAGUAACCUACAUGCAAAAGGGAACCAAAGCAAUCUCCUUAGUUAUGCUGGUGUUAGUAAUGAACUCAAUCAAUCUUUUAAACUCUUUUGAUAUAAAAUUAUUAGCAGCAUUCUUCUGACCCAACAUGAGUAUGCAGUAAAAUCUGUGGUACAGUAAGCUGAGCAUUACUACCCAAAUUUUAUGGCAUAAAUUACAUGCCUAAAGCUCAUUACAUGACCUACUAGUUGUAAGCACAGUGCAAGAGUAUCUAUGAAUCCAUUAGUUGAGAGGAAAAAUAAAAUCAGGAGUAUUCCCUAUAUUCCAGUAUGGAAAGCUGAUGACAAGUACUAAUAGAAAUGUAGAGAAAUCACUGAACAAGGUCAUGUUGAGCAUAUCAUCACAUUAUUUAGCUGCUAUGUUUGUUAAAUUAAACUUUCUUUUAUUUUAUAUUACUUGCUCUAAAAUAUGCCCAGUUUUUAACACUACUAGAGAAUCUACAAGAAACAUUAAUAGACUUCUUAAAAGAACUGUUGCUAGUUGAAUUCAUACAUAUUUGUUCCAUUUAGUGGCAGACUUCAUUGGUUUCAGUUUCUAAACAGAUGUAGUCUGUGGGACCCUUCCCCAACAUUGAAAUAUCCAGAGGCACCUUGUCUCAUUGUUUCCACUAGAAAACUUGGUUGUCUCUAAAAAAUCCCACAGGAUCAUCAAGCCUCCAGAAACACUAACUGAAAUCUCAUAUUGCCAAGUGAGACCAUCCAUUUCUGUUAAUUGUAAAACUAUAUUCUUUUUUUACCAGAAAAACAAAAAGUCAGCUACAACAACUGCAUUCUUCAAAUGUGGUUCUACAUCUCAACAACAUUUGUGAUCUUUCAAUUUAUUUCUGCAAGUCAUGUAUUAUUUUUGAAAGUCCUAGGAGAGGAUUCUUUUGAUUAAAUAUGAGAGCAGAGGAUUAUCCUCUUCAAUCUGAAAUACAGUUAUAAAUUAUUAUUCAUAAAUGCCUGGAUUUUGUUUUAUUUUGUUCUCCCCAGAAUUGUGAAUAUUAAAAAUAAUUCUGUUUCCUUAGCAGCAGCCAGUAAGUAUACAUACAAACUAUCUAUUUUCCACUUUUUGAAGUAGAUUAUUAGGAUUAUAUGAAGAGUAUCCAAUUCUGCUAUGAUUGCUUACACAAAAACAUAUCCACGUAUUUUUUCCAUGUGAUAAAAGCCUCUGUACUGAUUUGGAUCCCUUUGCAGGGAAAGCACAAUAAGUCACCUGUGAAAACGAA
This is a long non-coding RNA of Pseudopipra pipra, 9088 nucleotides long. RefSeq lists it as uncharacterized. The record is from RefSeq and is a predicted model, not a curated record. The transcript has 3 exons. NCBI's taxonomy places the organism in Eukaryota, Metazoa, Chordata, Aves, Passeriformes, Pipridae.